Molecule: microRNA, 23 nt
Filed under: Caenorhabditis briggsae
Lineage: Eukaryota; Metazoa; Nematoda; Chromadorea; Rhabditida; Rhabditidae
Description: cbr-miR-791
Gene: cbr-miR-791
Source: miRBase by way of RNAcentral
AUUGGCACUCCGCUGAUUUGGUG